Molecule: ribosomal RNA, 1377 nt
Filed under: metagenome
Description: bacterial LSU rRNA
Rfam family: Bacterial large subunit ribosomal RNA
Source: RNAcentral
CUCUGAGACGUGAUACCGAGCCGCUUCAGGCGAAGUCAUUGAUCCUAUGCUGCCUAGAAAAGCCCAGCAGCGAGUUGACAUGGUGCCCGUACCCCAAACCAACACAGGUGGACAGGUAGAGCAUACCAAGGCGAGUGGGAUAACUAUGGUUAAGGAACUCGGCAAAUUGCCCCCGUAACUUCGGGAGAAGGAGGACCCCAGUAGCGUGAUGAGACUUGCUCUCUGAGCGUGAAGGGGUGGCACAAAAUUGAGGGAAGCGACUGUUUACCAAAAACACAGCAGCGUGCUAAGCCGUAAGGCGCUGUAUACGCUGUGACUCCUGCCCGGUGCUGGAAGGUUACGGGGAUGGGUUAGUCCUUCGGGACGAAGCUCUGAACCUAAGCCCCAGUAAACGGCGGCCGUAACUAUAACGGUCCUAAGGUAGCGAAAUUCCUUGUCGGGUAAGUUCCGACCUGCACGAAUGGAGUAACGACUUCCCUACUGUCUCAACCAUAGACCCAGCGAAAUUGAAGUACGAGUAAAGAUGCUCGUUAGCUGCAGAAGGACGGAAAGACCCCGUGGACCUUUACUAUAACUUGAUGUUGUGUUUUGUCAUAUGUUGUGUAGGAUAGGUGGGAGACUUGGAAGCAUGGACGCUAGUCUGUGUGGAGUCAUCGUUGAAAUACCACCCUGCAUAUGGUGAGGCUCUAACCUAGACCCGUUAUCCGGGUUGGGGACAGCGUCAGGUGGGUAGUUUAACUGGGGCGGUUGCCUCCUAAAGAGUAACGGAGGCGCCCAAAGGUUCCCUCAGCCUGGUUGGCAAUCAGGCGUUGAGUGCAAUGGCAAAAGGGAGCUUGACUGCGAGACCUACAAGUCGAGCAGGAGCGAAAGCUGGGCAUAGUGAUCCGGCGGUUGCGUGUGGAAGCGCCGUCGCUCAACGGAUAAAAGGUACCCCGGGGAUAACAGGCUAAUCUUGCCCAAGCGUCCAUAGCGACGGCAAGGUUUGGCACCUCGAUGUCGGCUCAUCGCAUCCUGGGGCUGAAGCAGGUCCCAAGGGUUUGGCUGUUCGCCCAUUAAAGCGGUACGCGAGCUGGGUUCAGAACGUCGUGAGACAGUUCGGUCCCUAUCCUCUGCAGCCGGAGGUGAAUUGAGGAAAGCUGUCCCUAGUACGAGAGGACCGGGACGGACGCAGCUCUCGUGUGCCAGUUGUCCCGCCAAGGGCAUGGCUGGUUAGCGACCUGCGGAAAGGAUAACCGCUGAAAGCAUCUAAGCGGGAAGCCUCUUCCAAGAUGAAUUCACCCACAGGGUUAACCUGGUAAGGCCCGUGGUAGACCACCACGUUGAUAGGCCGGAAGUGUAAGCGUGGCAACACGUUCAGCUGACCGGUACUAAUCGGCC